Molecule: ribosomal RNA, 428 nt
Filed under: uncultured Bacteroidota bacterium
Lineage: Bacteria; Pseudomonadati; Bacteroidota
Description: bacterial SSU rRNA
Rfam family: Bacterial small subunit ribosomal RNA
Source: RNAcentral
CCGGAUUUAUUGGGUUUAAAGGGUGCGUAGGCUGUUUUGUAAGUCAGCGGUGAAAGACCGGGGCCCAACUCCGGAAGUGCCGUUGAUACUGCAUUGCUAGAGUUCCCCUGCCGUGGGAGGAAUGAGUGGUGUAGCGGUGAAAUGCAUAGAUAUCACUCAGAACACCGAUUGCGAAGGCAUCUCACGAAGAGGCAACUGACGCUGAGGCACGAAAGCGUGGGGAUCAAACAGGAUUAGAUACCCUGGUAGUCCACGCUGUAAACGAUGAUGACUAGCUGCCGGCGAUACACUGUCGGUGGCCCAGCGAAAGCGAUAAGUCAUCCACCUGGGGAGUACGACCGCAAGGUUGAAACUCAAAGGAAUUGACGGGGGCCCGCACAAGCGGAGGAACAUGUGGUUUAAUUCGAUGAUACGCGAGGAACCUUACC